Molecule: ribosomal RNA, 290 nt
Filed under: uncultured bacterium
Lineage: Bacteria
Description: partial 16S ribosomal RNA
Rfam family: Bacterial small subunit ribosomal RNA
Source: RNAcentral
GUAGUCCACGCCCUAAACGAUGAAUACUUGGUGUUGGUCAUUUUGAUCAGUGCCGUAGGUAACCUGAUAAGUAUUCCACCUGGGGAGUACGCUCGCAAGGGUGAAACUCAAAGGAAUUGACGGGGCCCGCACAAGCGGUGGAGCAUGUGGUUUAAUUCGAUGCAACGCGAAGAACCUUACCUAGGCUUGAACUGUUGGUGGUAGGACCCUGAAAGGGAACGACCCGCAAGGGAGCCAAUAGAGGUGCUGCAUGGCUGUCGUCAGCUCGUGCCGUGAGGUGUUGGGUUAAG